UACGGGGGGGGCAAGCGUUGUUCGGAAUUACUGGGCGUAAAGGGCUCGUAGGUGGCCAACUAAGUCAGACGUGAAAUCCCUCGGCUUAACCGGGGAACUGCGUCUGAUACUGGAUGGCUUGAGUUCGGGAGAGGGAUGCGGAAUUCCAGGUGUAGCGGUGAAAUGCGUAGAUAUCUGGAGGAAUACCGGUGGCGAAGGCGGCUCACUGGCUCAUUUCUGACGCUCAGGCGCGACAGCGUGGGGAUCAAACAGG
This 253-nucleotide ribosomal RNA is filed under the name uncultured bacterium. RNAcentral describes it as "partial 16S ribosomal RNA". It matches the Rfam family "Bacterial small subunit ribosomal RNA", at positions 524 to 776 of the family's 1533-position model. The record is from RNAcentral.